ACUCCUACGGGAGGCAGCAGUGGGGAAUUUUGGACAAUGGGCGCAGGCCUAAUCCAGCAAUGCCGCGUGAGUGAAGAAGGCCUUCGGGUUGUAAAGCUCUUUCAGUUGAAAAGAAAAAGUCGUGACUGAUAAUCAUGGCUCAUGACGGUAUCAACAGAAGAAGCACCGGCUAACUACGUGCCAGCAGCCGCGGUAAUACGUAGGGUGCAAGCGUUAAUCGGAAUUACUGGGCGUAAAGGGUGCGCAGGCGGUUCUGUAAGUCAGAUGUGAAAUCCCCGGGCUUAACCUGGGAACUGCGUUUGAAACUGCAGAGCUAGAGUGCGGCAGAGGGAGGUGGAAUUCCAUGUGUAGCAGUGAAAUGCGUAGAGAUAUGGAAGAACAUCGAUGGCGAAGGCAACCUCCUGGGCUAGCACUGACGCUCAUGCACGAAAGCGUGGGGAGCAAACAGGAUUGGAUACCCUGGUAGUCCACGCCCUAAACUAUGUCAACUAGUUGUCGGGUCUUAAUAGACUUGGUAACGUAGCUAACGCGUGAAGUUGACCGCCUGGGGUGUACGGUCGCAAGAUUAAAACUCAAAGGAACUGACGGGGACCCGCACAAGCGGUGGAUUAUGUGGAUUAAUUCUAUGCAACGCGAAAAACCUUACCUACCCUUGACAUGUCAGAAAAUUUUCAGAGAUGAAUUUGUGCCCGAAAGGGAAUCUGAACACAGGUGCUGCAUGGCUGUCGUCAGCUCGUGUCGUGAGAUGUUGGGUUAAGUCCCGCAACGAGCGCAACCCUUGUCAUUAAUUGCCAUCAUUUAGUUGGGCACUUUAAUGAGACUGCCGGUGAUAAACCGGAGGAAGGUGGGGAUGACGUCAAGUCCUCAUGGCCCUUAUGGGUAGGGCUUCACACGUAAUACAAUGGCG
This 907-nucleotide ribosomal RNA is filed under the name uncultured bacterium. RNAcentral's name for it is "bacterial SSU rRNA". It matches the Rfam family "Bacterial small subunit ribosomal RNA", at positions 335 to 1235 of the family's 1533-position model. The record is from RNAcentral.